This 543-nucleotide ribosomal RNA is filed under the name Bacillus amyloliquefaciens. RNAcentral describes it as "bacterial SSU rRNA". It matches the Rfam family "Bacterial small subunit ribosomal RNA", at positions 1 to 527 of the family's 1533-position model. Lineage: Bacteria; Bacillati; Bacillota; Bacilli; Caryophanales; Bacillaceae. The record is from RNAcentral.
UUAAGAAGUUUUUGAACUGGCUCAGGACGAACGCUGGCGGCGUGCCUAAUACAUGCAAGUCGAGCGGACAGAUGGGAGCUUGCUCCCUGAUGUUAGCGGCGGACGGGUGAGUAACACGUGGGUAACCUGCCUGUAAGACUGGGAUAACUCCGGGAAACCGGGGCUAAUACCGGAUGCUUGUUUGAACCGCAUGGUUCAGACAUAAAAGGUGGCUUCGGCUACCACUUACAGAUGGACCCGCGGCGCAUUAGCUAGUUGGUGAGGUAACGGCUCACCAAGGCGACGAUGCGUAGCCGACCUGAGAGGGUGAUCGGCCACACUGGGACUGAGACACGGCCCAGACUCCUACGGGAGGCAGCAGUAGGGAAUCUUCCGCAAUGGACGAAAGUCUGACGGAGCAACGCCGCGUGAGUGAUGAAGGUUUUCGGAUCGUAAAGCUCUGUUGUUAGGGAAGAACAAGUGCCGUUCAAAUAGGGCGGCACCUUGACGGUACCUAACCAGAAAGCCACGGCUAACUACGUGCCAGCACCCGGGGGUAAUGGG